AGUGAACGCUGGCGGUAGGCCUAACACAUGCAAGUCGAACGGCAGCACAGUAAGAGCUUGCUCUUACGGGUGGCGAGUGGCGGACGGGUGAGGAAUACAUCGGAAUCUACUUUUUCGUGGGGGAUAACGUAGGGAAACUUACGCUAAUACCGCAUACGACCUACGGGUGAAAGCAGGGGAUCUUCGGACCUUGCGCGAUUGAAUGAGCCGAUGUGGGAUUAGCUAGUUGGCGGGGUAAAGGCCCACCAAGGCGACGAUCCGUAGCUGGUCUGAGAGGAUGGUCGGCCACACUGGAACUGAGACACGGUCCAGACUCCUACGGGAGGCAGCAGUGGGGAAUGUUAGACAAUGGGCGCAAGCCUGAUCCAGCCAUACCGCGUGGGUGAAGAAGGCCUUCGGGUUGUAAAGCCCUUUUGUUGGGAAAGAAAAGCAGCAGGUUAAUACCCCGCUGUUCUGACGGUACCCAAAGAAUAAGCACCGGCUAACUUCGUG
This 492-nucleotide ribosomal RNA is filed under the name uncultured bacterium. RNAcentral describes it as "partial 16S ribosomal RNA". It matches the Rfam family "Bacterial small subunit ribosomal RNA", at positions 29 to 507 of the family's 1533-position model. The record is from RNAcentral.